This 593-nucleotide ribosomal RNA is filed under the name uncultured Meliniomyces. RNAcentral describes it as "eukaryotic LSU rRNA". The stretch from base 233 to 386 matches the Rfam family "5.8S ribosomal RNA". Lineage: Eukaryota; Fungi; Ascomycota; Leotiomycetes; Helotiales; Helotiaceae. The record is from RNAcentral.
CUUGGUCAUUUAGAGGAAGUAAAAGUCGUAACAAGGUUUCCGUAGGUGAACCUGCGGAAGGAUCAUUAAAGAAUCGCCCCGUUUUUUGAAAUGGGUUCUAUUCCCAAACCGUGUCUACAUACCUUUGUUGCUUUGGCAGGCCGCCGCUUAGGCGUUGGCUCCGGCUGACUGCGCCUGCCAGAGGACCCAAACUCGUUUGUUUAGUGAUGUCUGAGUACUAUAUAAUAGUUAAAACUUUCAACAACGGAUCUCUUGGUUCUGGCAUCGAUGAAGAACGCAGCGAAAUGCGAUAAGUAAUGUGAAUUGCAGAAUUCAGUGAAUCAUCGAAUCUUUGAACGCACAUUGCGCCCCUUGGUAUUCCGAGGGGCAUGCCUGUCCGAGCGUCAUUAUAACCACUCAAGCCCCGGCUUGGUCUUGGGGUUCGCGGUCUCGCGGCCCUUAAAAUCAGUGGCGGUGCCGUCUGGCUCUAAGCGUAGUAAUUCUCUCGCUAUAGGGUCCCGGCGGUUACCUGCCAGAACCCCCCCAUUUUUUACGGUUGACCUCGGAUCAGGUAGGGAUACCCGCUGAACUUAAGCAUAUCAAUAAGCGGAGGA